UUGCAGUUAAAAAGCUCGUAGUUGGAUUUCUGCGGGGACGGGGCGGCCGGAUGCUUAUAGCAUCUCGAGCUAGCACUUCCCCUGCAUCCUGCCGCGAACCGUGCUACCAUUAGUUUGGUGGCGCUGGGGAUCGGCUCGUUUACUUUGAGAAAAAUAGAGUGUUCAAAGCAGGCCACACGCCUUGAAUAAGUUAGCAUGGAAUAAUGACUAAGGACUUUGGUUCUUUUCGUUGGUGUUCGGGACUGAAGUAAUGAUUGAUAGGGACAGUUGGGGCGGUCUGUAUUCCAAAGCGAGAGGUGAAAUUCUUAGACCUUCGGAAGACAAACAGCUGCGAAAGCGUUCCGCAAGGAUGUUCCCUUUGAUCAAGAACGAAAGUUGGGGGAUCGAAGACGAUCAGAUACCGUCGUAGUCUCAGCUAUAAACUAUACCAGCUAGGGAUCGGCCAACGUUUAAUUAUUCGACUUGGUCGGCACCUUAUGAGAAAUCAAAGCAUCUGGGUUCCGGGGGGAGUAUGGUCGCAAGGCUGAAACUUAAAGGAAUUGACGGAAGGGCACCACCAGCCGUGGAGCCUGUGGCUUAAUUUGACUCAACACGGGAAAACUUACCAGGUCCAGACAUAGUAAGGAUUGACAGAUUGAUAGCUCUUUCUUGAUUCUGUGGGGUGGUGGUGCAUGG
Molecule: ribosomal RNA, 675 nt
Filed under: uncultured marine eukaryote
Lineage: Eukaryota
Description: SSU rRNA
Rfam family: Eukaryotic small subunit ribosomal RNA
Source: RNAcentral